RNAcentral lists this small RNA (2638 nucleotides) under Arabidopsis thaliana (thale cress). The record is from RNAcentral. Lineage: Eukaryota; Viridiplantae; Streptophyta; Magnoliopsida; Brassicales; Brassicaceae.
UAUGUUUUGUUAAAAAUGUAUGACUUUAUAACUUUUAGACCGUGAGGCCAAACUUGGCAUGCCAUACCUUUUCGGAAAGCCCAAAGAGAGCUCUCCAAUUAAUGAGGAAGGAAAAUGGAAUUCUUCUAUUGUUUUUUUUUUCUACUCUAAAUUUUGACCUUAAUGUACUUUUUCGUGCCUUUUCGUGAUCUUUGCUAUAGUACGGGGUGAAAAUUAUAUGUUCGGACAUUGUUUUCGAAUAUUUUGCAUGUAUCAAAGCUCUAAUAAACAAGAUAGGGUAUUCCUACAUAGCUAGUGGGACCCACGACAAAUGGAUCAUAAAGUCUUAAAAAAGAAUAGAUACGAUUGCAUUGCAUGUAUUAACGGAUGCGAUUAUACCAGCAUUAAUGCACUGGAUCCCAUCAGAAAUCUGUAGUUAAGCGUGCUUGGGCGAGAGUUGUACUAGGAUGGGUGACCUCCAGGAAAGUCCUCGUGUUGCAUUCCUCUUUUUUUCUCGGUUUUUCUCUUUUCUGUUUUGUUAAAAGUAUAUGACUCUAUAACUUUUAGACCGUGAGGCCAAACUUGGCAUGUGAUACCAUUUCGGAAAGCCCAAAGAGAGCUCUCCAACUAAUGAGGAAGGAAAAUGGAAUUCUCCUAUUGAUUUUUUUUUCUACUCCAAAUUUAGACCUUAAUGUACUUUUUCGGGCCUUUUAAUGAUCUUUGCUAUAGUACGGGGCAAAAAUUAUAAGUUCGGACAUUGUUUUCGAAUAUUUUGCAUGGAUCAAAGCUCUUAUUAACAAGAUAGGGUGUUCCUACAUAGCUAAUGGGACCCACGGCAAAUGGAUCAUAAAGUCUUCAAAAAAGAAUAGAUAUAAUUGCAUUGCAUGUAGUAACAGCUACGAUCAUACCAGCACUAAUGAACCGGAUCCCAUCAGAACUCUACAGUUAAGCGUGCUUGGGCGAGAGUUGUACUAGGAUGAGUGAGCUCCAGGAAAGUCCUCGUGUUGCAUCCCUCUUUUUUUCGGUUUUUCUCUUUUUUUAUGUUAAAAAUAAAUGACUCUAUAACUUUUGGACCGUGAGGCCAAACUUGGCAUGUGAUACCUUUUUGGAAAGCCCAAAGAGAGCUCUCCAAUUAAUGAGGAAGGAAAAUGAAAUUCUUCUAUUGUUUUUUUUUCUACGCCAAAUUUUGACCUUAAUGUAAUUUUUUGGGCCUUUCCGUGUUUUUUGCUUUAUUACGGGGCACAAAUUAUAUGUUCGGCCAUUGUUUUCGAAUAUUUUACAUGUAUCAAAGCUCUUAUAAACAAGAUAGGGUAUUCCUACAUAUCUGGUGGGACCCACAGCAAAUGGAUCAUAAAGUCUUCAAAAAAGAAUAGAUACGAUUGCAUUCCAUGUAGUAACAGAUGCGAUCAUACCAGCACUAAUGCACCGGAUCCCAUCAAAACUCCACAGUUAAGCGUGCUUGGGCGAGAGUAGUACGAGGAUGGGUGACCUCACGGAAAGUCCUCGUGUUGCAUCCCUCUUUUUUCGGUUUUCCUCUAUUUUGUUUUGUUAAAAAUGUAUGACUCUAUAACUUUAAGACCGUGAGGCCAACCUUGACAUGUGAUACCUUUUCGGAAAGCCUAAAGAGAGCUCUCCGAUGAAAGAGGAAGGAAAAUGGAAUUCUUCUAUUGUUUUUUUUUCUUCUCCAAAUUUUGACCUUAAUGUACUUUUUCGAGCCUUUUCGUGAUCUUUGCUAUAGUACGGGGCAAAAAUUAUAUGUUCGGACAUUGUUUUCGAAUAUUUUGUAUCUAUCAAAGCUCUUAUAAACAAGAUAGGGUAUUCCUACAUAGCUGGUGGGACCCAUGGCAAAUGAAUCAUAAAGUCUUCAAAAAAGAAUAGAUACGAUUGCAUUGCAUGUAGUAACAGAUGUGAUCAUACCAGCACUAAUGCACCGGAUCCCAUCAGAACUCCGAAGUUAAGCGUGAUUGGGCGAGAGUAGUACUAAGAUGGGUGACCUCGAGGAAUGUCCUCGUGUUGCAUGCCUCUUUUUUCGGUUUUUCUCUAUUUUGUUUUAUUAAAAAUGUAUGACUCUAUAACUUUAAGACCGUGAGGCAAAACUUGACAUGUGAUACCUUUUCGGAAAGCCCAAAGAGAGCUCUCCAAUGAAUGAGGAAGUCUUUUUCUAUUCCAAAUUUUGACCUUAAUGUACUUUUUCGAGUCUUUUUGUGAUCUUUGCUAUAUUACGGGGCGAACAUUAUACGUUCGGACAUUGUUUUCGAAUAUUUUGUAUCUAUCAAAGCUCUUAUAAACAAGAUAGGGUAUUCCUACAUUGCUGGUGGGACCCACGGCAAAUGGAUCAUAAAGUCUUAAAAAAAGAAUAGAUAUGAUUGCAUUGCAUGUAGUAACAGAUGCGAUCAUACCAGCACUAAUGCACCGGAUCCCAUCAGAACUCCGCAGUUAAGCGUGCUUGGGCGAGAGUAGUACUAGGAUGGGUGACCUCGAAGAAUGUCCUCGUGUUGCAUCCCUCUUUUUUUCGGUUUUUCUCUUUUUUUGUUUUGUUAAAAAUGUAUGACUUUAUAACUUUUAGACCGUGAGGCCAAACUUGGCAUGCCAUACCUUUUCGGAAAGCCCAAAGAGAGCUCUNCAAUUAAUGAGGAAGGAAAAUGGAAUNCUUCUAUUG